GAAACCGUCCAGGGGUAAACCUGAGAAACCCAAAAGAUCGAAUGGAGAGAUUCAUCGACGACGAUACUGGCUCCCGAUGGCGCGCGAUGCCCCGGUGGUACCCUCGCGGUUCCACAGCGAGCGGCACACCGUCAUCGGCGAACGUUCCGGUGAUGUAGUCGUGCACUUCUCCCCUAGUAGAACGUCGCGACCCGUUGCGCGUCGGUCUACGGCCCGAGUGGGCGCCUGUGGCGUCGCAAUCUUGCGUACGCGGCAGACCCUCGGUCGCCCGGCCGGCUGCGCGACGGUACUCGUACGGUAUCGGGCCGCAACCAAUCCAUUCUCGAAUGUAUGUGCGUCUAGCCCGCCGCAAGCUCGGUCAGAUUACCCGGUGGUACGGACUUUGUGCCGGCGCCGGGCCUGGCCAGCUGUUAGCAGGCGGUGUCCUCGGACUGGCCAAGCUUCGAAUUACCGGUCGGCGACGCUACUGCUUUGGGUACUCUCAGGACCCGUCUUGAAACACGGACCAAGGAGUCUAACAUGUGCGCGAGUCAUUGGGAUUUACAAACCUAAAGGCGAAAUGAAAGUGAAAGUCGGCCUCCGCGUCGACCAAGGGAGGAUGGGCCGCGUAUCCAUGCGGCCUCGCACUCCCGGGGCGUCUCGCUCUCAUCGCGAGAAGAGGCGCACCUAGAGCGUACA
RNAcentral lists this ribosomal RNA (678 nucleotides) under Xylocopa viridigastra. RNAcentral describes it as "partial 28S ribosomal RNA". It matches the Rfam family "Eukaryotic large subunit ribosomal RNA", at positions 401 to 806 of the family's 3401-position model. The record is from RNAcentral. Lineage: Eukaryota; Metazoa; Arthropoda; Insecta; Hymenoptera; Apidae.